Long non-coding RNA from Lolium rigidum, 569 nucleotides. RefSeq lists it as uncharacterized. The record is from RefSeq and is a predicted model, not a curated record. The transcript is spliced from 2 exons. Lineage: Eukaryota; Viridiplantae; Streptophyta; Magnoliopsida; Poales; Poaceae.
ACAUAGUUUUAUUUGUUGUGUAUUUAUCGUGUUUUUGUCAAGUGCAGGGCCUAACUCAAUCUACUUUGCCAUCAUUGUAGUUACUACAAGACAAAUCAUUAGAUGCAGUUACUAAUGAUGAAAUUACAAGCUGUAUUUUCUUGUGUCUUUGAUGGAAGUAAAUUUACUGACCAUGUAAAAUCAGCAUAUAGUUAUUUUUGGGUUGAAGGGAGACAGUGUAAUCUGCGAGGACAAGACCUUUUCUUUUUGGUUUUCUACCAGCUGUCUUCUCAUUGCAAAAGUUGAGAAAGGAACUCUCUUCUUGGCAGGUCCAGCUUAGUGUACUGCAAGGAAAACUGCUUGAGCAAGAUGAAGCUUUGAGGUUAUUUUGUUGGCACAGAAGCAAGCAACACUAGAAGUGUUAGAAAGGCAGGAAAAGGUGCAAGCAAAAGAAUUUAGGAACUUGAAGUCUAUGUAGCCUUUGUGCAUGUUCAAGUCUUAUGCUCUGAAGAAUAUAUGUAGAAUGUGAUGAUUCGUCAUUCAAAUGCUAACCAAGUUAUAUUAAAUGUAUGCUUGACUUUUCCUGGUUA